Molecule: non-coding RNA, 207 nt
Organism: Pelobates cultripes (western spadefoot toad)
Lineage: Eukaryota; Metazoa; Chordata; Amphibia; Anura; Pelobatidae
Source: the annotation of a GenBank genome assembly
AUUUAAUUGCCUAUAAAAAUUUUUUAAUGGCGUAGCUUAGACAUCUUUUAAAGAAAAAUUUUAAAAUAAAUAUUUCACAAACUUUUAUAAAGGUCUUGUUUUUUUGAGAGUUUGUGUUCCAUUUACACAAAUAGCUGGCCAGUAAUCUUUGUGUGAAAGUUAAUCGUCCAAUUAAAAGGUUUAUAGAACCAGAAUACUAACUCAAGG